AGGCUCUGAGCUGUCAGCACAGAGCCCAAUGUGGGGCUCGAACUCAGGAACUGUGAGAUCAUUACCUGAGCUGAAAUCAGACACUAAACUGACUGAGCCACCCAGGCUCCCCAGGGCUGAGGGCUUUUCAAAACUACUUUAAGGAGGAUAGAGUAAAGGUUACUAUAGUAGGUGUUUUAAAAGUAUAUGAAUACAUCCUAUAAUAUAUACACACACGCAACUGAAUAUAUACCACAUUUUCUUUAUACAUUCACUUAUCAAUGGAUGUUUAGGUUGUUCCUGUAUCUUGAGUCCCAUGAAUAAUGCUACAAUGAACAUUCAAAUGCUAAUCUCUCUUCAAUACUCUGAUUUCCGUUAUUUUGGAUAAAUUCCUAGAGGUAAGAUUGCUUUUUCAAAUGGUAGUUCUAUUUUUAGUUUUUGAGGAACCUCCAUACUCUUUUCUCUAGUGGCUGCACCAGUUUGCAUUAUUACCUGCAUGGUGCAAAGGUUUCAAUUUCUCCACAUCCUCACCAGCACUUGUCUUUUGGUCUUUUUGAUAAUAGCCCUCCUGAUAGGCAUGAGAUUAUGUCUCAUUGUGGUUUUGAUUUGCAUUUUCUGGAAAUGAGGCACUACUAAUUAGCAGGCAUGAAGGUUCACUUACACAAGACGAAUAACUUCUAGAGAUCAUCUGUACAACAGUGUACCUAUAGUCAACAAUACUGAAUUUUACACUUAAAACUCUGGAGGGUAGAUCUCGUGUUAAAUGUUCAUACCACCAGUAAAAAGAAAAGUGUAUGAAGAGAUCUAAGUCAUUUUGUAAUUACUUCUAUAGAUCAUGUGUCUUAAGUGGUUCCAUGAAAGUGUUCUUGGCCUGAACCAUGUGCAUCACAGCUUUUAUAAAUGAUGCAUCCAGUCUAUAGGAAGAGAUGAGACAACAUGGACUUAAAGACAUAUGUGAGCCUUGUGUUAGCCACCCGGAAGGACCAGCAGCGGGCAGUGUGGAGAUGAGAACUGAGAUUUGGUCUAUGGAAAUCGCAAAAUUAAGAGAAACAGAUGUGACUCCAAGGCCAAGGGUCCUACAAUUGGAAAGAACACCAAUACCACACUAUGAAAUCAGGCUUUGAGGCCCACAGAAGGCUCAGCCAUUGUGCUGCCAUGCUGACCCUCCCUUCUGAAGGUGAAGAUCUGAUUGUAUUCUACUGCUUACAUAAACUGCCUCUCUAAGGGAUUGUCACUGUCAGUACAUGCUGUGAUACCUUGUGAAGAUGAGAUUUGAUUUCUUCUCAACAAAUAGUCUUUCUUCCUCUCUUCACUGCCAGAUAUGCUGAGAAUUACACUGCUUAGACUUUCUUCCCGUUGACCAGGAUUUCUCAGCCUCAUCAACUUUAUCACCGUUAACAUGUGCACUCAAAUAAUUCUUCUUUUUAUUUGUGGAGGGGGUCUGCCUUGUGAAUUGUAGGAUAUUUAACAGGCUCCCUGGACUCUACUCAGUAGUCCCAAAAAUUCUCAUGCAUCACCCCCCAUUUAUGGAUUGUGAAAGUCAAAACUGUCUAGCUUAGUUCAAUUAAGAAUUCCUGUUAAGAUUCUAGGAUGCCCAUUAAGUUGGCUCAUCAGUCAACUACCCCUUUUUGUGCGUGAGUUUCAGAUUCCUUCUUGAGAAUAUGUAUUAAUGGAAUGGUGAUUGGAGGGAAAGAAAUAAGGAAAAACUCAUGAAUGUGAAGAUGAGGUUUCAGGCAUGAAGACAUUGACUGCUAAGACUUGGAGUGACAAACACUAAUUUCCUCUUUCUUACAUUUUGCCUCUCUUCUUUACAUUCUGACAUUUCCUGUUGAUUCACAUAUAUGUGUCUGUUACCAAAUUAGCAAAAAUAAUACAUUUUUUAAAUGUUUAUUUAUUUAUUUUUGAGAAAGAACAAGAGUGAGCAAGCAGGGGAGGGGCAGAGAGACAGGAAGAGAGAAAAUCCCAAGCAAGCUUCAUGCUGACAGUGUGAAGGCUGACAUGGGACUUGAUCUCAUGAACUGUAAGAUCAUGACCUAAGCCAGGAUCAAGAGUUGGACACUCAACUGACUGAGCCUAAUUUAGCUGCCCCUAAUUUAGCAAAAAGAGUAUUAAGAAGCACUCCUUUAUGCUCUUUGGGGGUGAAUAUCAAAAUAAAACACAGUUCUGGACAUGAA
Long non-coding RNA from Felis catus (domestic cat), 2153 nucleotides. RefSeq lists it as uncharacterized. The transcript has 2 exons. Lineage: Eukaryota; Metazoa; Chordata; Mammalia; Carnivora; Felidae. The record is from RefSeq and is a predicted model, not a curated record.